Molecule: ribosomal RNA, 769 nt
Filed under: uncultured bacterium
Lineage: Bacteria
Description: bacterial SSU rRNA
Rfam family: Bacterial small subunit ribosomal RNA
Source: RNAcentral
AUUGAACGCUGGCGGCAGGCCUAACACAUGCAAGUCGAGCGGCAGCGACUUAACUGAACCUUCGGGGAACGUUAAGGGCGGCGAGCGGCGGACGGGUGAGUAAUGCCUGGGAAUAUGCCCUGAUGUGGGGGAUAACUAUUGGAAACGAUAGCUAAUACCGCAUAAUCUCUUCGGAGCAAAGAGGGGGACCUUCGGGCCUCUCGCGUCAGGAUUAGCCCAGGUGGGAUUAGCUUGUUGGUGAGGUAAUGGCUCACCAAGGCAACGAUCCCUAGCUGGUCUGAGAGGAUGAUCAGCCACACUGGAACUGAGACACGGUCCAGACUCCUACGGGAGGCAGCAGUGGGGAAUAUUGCACAAUGGGGGAAACCCUGAUGCAGCCAUGCCGCGUGUGUGAAGAAGGCCUUCGGGUUGUAAAGCACUUUCAGUAGGGAGGAAGGUAGUGCAGUUAACACCUGCAUUAUUUGACGUUACCUACAGAAGAAGCACCGGCUAACUCCGUGCCAGCAGCCGCGGUAAUACGGAGGGUGCGAGCGUUAAUCGGAAUUACUGGGCGUAAAGCGCAUGCAGGCGGCCUGUUAAGUCAGAUGUGAAAGCCCGGGGCUUAACCUCGGAAUUGCAUUUGAAACUGGCAGGCUAGAGUCUUGUAGAGGGGGGUAGAAUUUCAGGUGUAGCGGUGAAAUGCGUAGAGAUCUGAAGGAAUAUCAGUGGCGAAGGCGGCCCCCUGGACAAAGACUGACGCUCAGAUGCGAAAGCGUGGGGAGCAAACAGG